GCUGAACUUAAGCAUAUCAAUAAGCGGAGGAAAAGAAACCAACAGGGAUUGCCCUAGUAACGGCGAGUGAAGCGGCAACAGCUCAAAUUUGAAAUCUGGCGCAAGCCCGAGUUGUAAUUUGUAGAGGAUGUUUCUGGCGACGUACCUUCCGAGUUCCCUGGAACGGGACGCCAUAGAGGGUGAGAGCCCCGUACGGUUGGUUGCCUAGCCUUUGUGAAACUCCUUCGACGAGUCGAGUAGUUUGGGAAUGCUGCUCUAAAUGGGAGGUAUACGUCUUCUAAAGCUAAAUACCGGCCAGAGACCGAUAGCGCACAAGUAGAGUGAUCGAAAGAUGAAAAGCACUUUGAAAAGAGGGUUAAAUAGUACGUGAAAUUGUUGAAAGGGAAGCGUUUAUGACCAGACUUGGGUAGGUUGAUCAUCCGUGGUUCUCCGCGGUGCACUCUGCCUGCCUAGGCCAGCAUCAGUUCAGUUCGGGGGAUAAAGGCUUCGGGAAUGUAGCUCCCUCGGGAGUGUUAUAGACCGUUGCGUAAUACCCUGAUC
This 540-nucleotide ribosomal RNA is filed under the name Clonostachys candelabrum. RNAcentral describes it as "eukaryotic LSU rRNA". It matches the Rfam family "Eukaryotic large subunit ribosomal RNA", at positions 27 to 581 of the family's 3401-position model. The record is from RNAcentral. Lineage: Eukaryota; Fungi; Ascomycota; Sordariomycetes; Hypocreales; Bionectriaceae.